AAUAUUGGACAAUGGGCGAAAGCCUGAUCCAGCCAUGCCGCGUGUGUGAAGAAGGUCUUCGGAUUGUAAGGCACUUUAAGUUGGGAGGAAGGGCAGUAAGUUAAUACCUUGCUGUUUUGCCGUUACUGACAGAAUAAGCACCGGCUAACUCUGUGCCAGCAGCCGCGGUAAUACAGAUGGUGCAAGCGUUAAUCGGAAUUACUGGGCGUAAAGCGCUCGUAGGUGGUUCGUUAAGUUGGAUGUGAAAGCCCCGGCAUCAACCUGGGAACUGCAUCCAAAACUGGCGAGCUAGAGUAUGGUAGAGGGUGGUGGAAUUUCCUGUGUAGCGGUGAAAUGCGUAGAUAGAGGAAGGAACACCAGUGGCGAAGGCGACCACCUGGACUGAUACUGACACUGAGGUGCGAAAGCGUGGGGAGCAAACAG
Molecule: ribosomal RNA, 423 nt
Filed under: uncultured bacterium
Lineage: Bacteria
Description: partial 16S ribosomal RNA
Rfam family: Bacterial small subunit ribosomal RNA
Source: RNAcentral